AGAACACAUACUGUCCAGUAUGUAGGGUCUAUACAGCCCCUUCCAGCUAGAAGAAGCUAUAGAAGACAAAGACCAGCACUCUCUUAGUACCUGAAAAGGAAUUAUGAGGAUAUGUGUCUCUCAGGGGGAAAUGAGACAGGAGAUUAGGGCAUGGCAGAGCUGGCUGAGGAAGUAGGACAGAAGAAAAUCUAAAACCACCUCCAGAAAGAGAAUUCAGCACCGCAAAGCUCAGUAACAGAAGAAAGCAGAGAAAACAGCCAAAGGUUUCAGUUUUAAAAGCUUAUAGAUAAGUCAAGGAUCCAGCAACCAAACUGCAGAGUGUCCAAGGGGGUAGAAUGAAAACCUCCAGAAUGUCCAUAGAGAAUCUUCUGCAGGCAAACAAAAGGAGAGAAGGUGGAAGAGACUUAAUUCAGCUGUGAAAACGUAUGCAUUUCAAAAGCAACAAUAAUAGCAACAACAGAAAACAGCAAAGCAUCUACCACUGCUUCCUUUUUUAAACCAGAUUUGUACAAAAUAUCAAGGCUUAAGACUAUAACAGGAAAAUGGUAUUCUAC
This 554-nucleotide long non-coding RNA is filed under the name Chinchilla lanigera (long-tailed chinchilla). Its description in RNAcentral is "lncRNA (ENSCLAG00000025634.1)". Lineage: Eukaryota; Metazoa; Chordata; Mammalia; Rodentia; Chinchillidae. The record is from RNAcentral.